AUGCGCCUCGGGCGCACGGGCGCUGGUUGGCAUCGCGGCGGCGGCGCCGCUGUCGGGCACGCGCAGUGCCGGCGGCCGUGCCGCGGCGUCCACCAGCGGGGAAGUGGCAGUCGCAGAGUGUGGCUUCCCCUUCCAAGGGUUUCCAUCGCGGCACACGACUCCUGGUGCUCUACAGCAGCUGGGGCGAAACUCGCAGGAAGCCUCUUUACAGCUUUCUCCCUCGGGCCUCUCUGCGCCUAAUGGGAGGCCUGGCUGUGGCAUCAGAGCUGGUCACCCGCGUAGUUCUCCUCACCCUCCUGCUCGGCUUGGCACCCUUGUGUGCGUGAGGUGACAGAAUGAGGGCUGGGUCCCAUGAGGAGUCUUUCCCAUGCACAUGCUGUGUGCUCAGCUUCCACGCAUGCCCAUUUGAAAAUGAAGCACACCUUAUAAGAAUGUUUUUAUUUAAAGGACCAUCUUUAAUGCUGCACCUAAGUACUGCAAGUUUCAGUAGAGAAGUCCAAGCAUAUGAAAGGCUGCUGCAAAAGGGAAGGAACCAUCUCUCUCUGUGUCUGCAACAAGAAGAAUUAAACUUUGCAGCAAGGAAGGCUCAGGUUAUAUUACAAAGAGCUUUCUUUUUUUUCAGAACAGGCCAACUUUGCACUAGAACAGCUUGCUUUU
This is a long non-coding RNA of Pogoniulus pusillus (Red-fronted tinkerbird), 657 nucleotides long. RefSeq lists it as uncharacterized. The record is from RefSeq and is a predicted model, not a curated record. The transcript has 3 exons. Lineage: Eukaryota; Metazoa; Chordata; Aves; Piciformes; Lybiidae.